RNAcentral lists this ribosomal RNA (468 nucleotides) under uncultured bacterium. RNAcentral's name for it is "partial 16S ribosomal RNA". It matches the Rfam family "Bacterial small subunit ribosomal RNA", at positions 28 to 507 of the family's 1533-position model. The record is from RNAcentral.
GACGAACGCUGGCGGCGUGCUUAACACAUGCAAGUCGAACGGAAAGGCUCCAGCUUGCUGGAGUACUCGAGUGGCGAACGGGUGAGUAACACGUGGGUGAUCUGCCCUGCACUUCGGGAUAAGCCUGGGAAACUGGGUCUAAUACCGGAUAGGACCGCACUUUGGUGUGUGUGGUGGAAAGGUUUUUCUGGGGUGGGAUGAGCUCGCGGCCUAUCAGUUUGUUGGUGGGGUAAUGGCCUACCAAGACGGCGACGGGUAGCCGGCCUGAGAGGGUGGACGGUCACAUUGGGACUGGGAUACGGCCCAGACUCCUACGGGGGGCAGCAGUGGGGAAUAUUGCACAAUGGGGGAGACCCUGAUGCAGCGACGCCGCGUGGGGGAUGAAGGCCUUCGGGUUGUAAAAUCCUUUCGCUAGGGACGAAGCUUUUUGUGACGGUACCUGGAGAAGAAGCACCGGCUAACUACGUG